CAUCCUACGGGGGGCAGCAGUGGGGAAUAUUGGGCAAUGGGCGAAAGCCUGACCCAGCAACGCCGCGUGAAGGAAGAAGGCUUUCGGGUUGUAAACUUCUUUUGACAGGGAAGAGCAGAAGACGGUACCUGUCGAAUAAGCCACGGCUAACUACGUGCCAGCAGCCGCGGUAAUACGUAUGGAGCAAGCGUUAUCCGGAUUUACUGGGUGUAAAGGGAGCGCAGGCGGCUUUGCAAGUCUGAUGUGAAAGGCCAGGGCUCAACCCUGGGACUGCAUUGGAAACUGUA
Molecule: ribosomal RNA, 287 nt
Filed under: uncultured bacterium
Lineage: Bacteria
Description: partial 16S ribosomal RNA
Rfam family: Bacterial small subunit ribosomal RNA
Source: RNAcentral